CCCUUCUAUAUCCUAUCAAAAGCUCCUUCUGGGUCCUGAAAAUUUCAUUCUAAGUGGUCAUAGUGACAGUCUGUGCUUGAGGGAAGACAGGCUGUGCCGGGGGCACUUUCUGGAUCUGACUUAAGGAUCGAUGAGAGAGGAUCCAUCCCUUUGUGGAUUGUGCCAUCCUUAGCCUGGUGGUCCUGAGCAGUAUGAGAAAACAGGAUAAACAAGCUGCUGGAGCAAGCCAGAAAGCAGCACCCCUCCAUGGCCUCUGCAUCAGCUCCUGCCUCCAGGUUCCUGCCCUGCUUGAGUUCCUGCCCUGACUUAUUUCAGUAAUGGAGUAUAAUGUUGACGUGCUCCUUCGCAUGAACGUUUUCCUGUGUGGGUUUCUGUUUCUCCUGAGAUCGAAACAGAUGCCUGACCCUGUCAUUCACUUGGAGUUUGAGAAUGGACUUAACUGACCACCUAAUCUCAGAGCAGCAUCCACACUCACUCUCCAGCACAACAAUCUAGAGUCUCUGCAUGGGAUUUAACCCUGCUCAAUAGUUUUCUUGUUCAUUUGCUUCUUCUUAUCUUUCUUUAUAGGCCAUAAGAUUAUUUAUAGGUAUAAGCACUGAUGUUCCCAGUCUUUAGAAAAGUAGAACAUGUUAAUAGUAAACAAUUAUAAAUAUAAACAUAAUAAUGCUGACGGCUAAUGUUGGAAGAGAGAGUAAGAAUGGUUAUUAGACAUCUUCUCAGCCAUUUAAAGUACCUAAAACUACCCUCAUGCACACAUCCUUAUUUGUUUAUUAAGCCAUCAUCUAUACAUAUCUUUACUUAGAUGUAGUUGUGAAUGACCUUGGACUCCUCGCUCACCUGCCACCCACACUCCAAGAGCUACAAUCACAGCUGUACACAGCCAUGCCUGCUGUGCAGAGUGCUGGGGAGUCAGACCCAGGCCUUGGUGUAAACACCAUAAGCACACUAUUAGGAGAGUUGACUUUCCAUCUAUUAGUACAUGUAUUGUCUGUCACAUGUCCAACUGGAUACCAGAAGUCUAUCCUGAGUCAAAAGCGCCUUCUGAUUUAAAUCAGUUAUUUCCACCUUGCCUUCGAACAAAGUCAUAGCAAUUCUCAUUUUGAGUAAAUUUGCUUCCAGUAUCUUUACAACACAUCGCUUUAACUUAGAAACCCUACAUAAUUUAUAGCUUCAUAACUGUUAAGUUUUAACCACGUGGUCAAGUAUGGAAGUCUAGAUCCAACUGUUUAAUGGCUGCAGGCCCUGCAUCUACCAGGGCUGAGCAGCCAGAGGAGAUGUGCAGAGCCCUGCAAAGACCUGUGGUCAGCUCUGUAACAAUCAACAUGAUCUCCCUGGACAACAGUCAUCACAGUGUGAUUUUCAGUAAUGCAAAAACCUUAGUGUACAGUGGUUGGAUCAUGACAUAUGGAAGACACAAUGGCAAAAAGAGUCACCUUAUUCUAGAAGGUUUUCAGAUUCCAUGAGUUUGCUUAUUCCGCCUGCCCUGUAAGUCACUUAUACUGACAACCUGAGUUCUAGGCAGUAGCAUCUAGUAAAUAUCUCUGGCCAUUUACAUCUGUACAAAUAAUCCCAAAGACCGUGGAGCAACGUGGCAGUGUGCAGAAUCCUCUAACUUCUCUCUCAGUUUUACAUUGCUUUCCUUCCCUAGCACAACAGUGACCAACAAGAUUCACAAUCAACAGCCAAGAAGAAGCCAGAUGAGAAUAAAACAGAAAUAGCCACACACCCAACCUCACCAACGCACCAUUCUAAAAACCAUGCUAAUCUGCUCCAACUACGAAUAACUUGGAAUAGAAUAUCAACUGCCAGGCAGACAUUUGUCAUCUAGAUGCCGAAGACAUUCCCACAUCUCGCCAGUUUUACUCGAGAGCAGUAGGUUUUAGGAAAAUGAUCCAUUUCACAGAAAGACCAACUUAAAAUACAACCGUGCCGAGUGUCCGAAUACAGAGAGACGUGGUACUCACCACGGGGUGGCCAGUGCAGUAUGUAUAGCUGGCAUGAGACUGGUAGUGUAAGCUCGCUCUUGGGAAGGAGUAUG
Molecule: long non-coding RNA, 2038 nt
Organism: Mus musculus (house mouse)
Lineage: Eukaryota; Metazoa; Chordata; Mammalia; Rodentia; Muridae
Product: predicted gene, 39451
Exons: 3
Source: RefSeq, a predicted model, not a curated record